GACGAACGCUGGCGGCGUCGCCGUAACACAUGCAAGGUCGAACGGGGUAGAGAGCUUCGGUUCGUUUACUUAGGUGGCGGAACGGGUGAGUAACGCGUGAGAAACCUGCCUUUCAGUGGGGGACAACAGUUGGAAACGACUGCUAAUACCGCAUAAUGUUAUUUGAGGGCAUCCUCGAAUAACCAAAGAUUUAUUGCUGAAAGAUGGUCUCGCGUCUGAUUAGCUAGUCGGUGAGGUAACGGCUCACCAAGGCGACGAUCAGUAGCCGGUCUGAGAGGAUGAACGGCCACAUUGGGACUGAGAUACGGCCCAG
This 313-nucleotide ribosomal RNA is filed under the name uncultured bacterium. Its description in RNAcentral is "bacterial SSU rRNA". It matches the Rfam family "Bacterial small subunit ribosomal RNA", at positions 28 to 334 of the family's 1533-position model. The record is from RNAcentral.